This 436-nucleotide long non-coding RNA is filed under the name Rosa chinensis. Its description in RNAcentral is "sRNA RchiOBHm_Chr3g0488781". The record is from RNAcentral. Lineage: Eukaryota; Viridiplantae; Streptophyta; Magnoliopsida; Rosales; Rosaceae.
ACCCCGCCCGGUAACAAAUCUAGUCGCGACGCUUUCGAAAAAGCAAUGGAUCGUGCCGAGAUAGAAAAUUUUCUGGAGGCUAUGUAUGCCGAGGGGCUGGCGGCCCAGCAGACGGUGGUGAACCCGGAGACGCUGGUGCUGAGCCAGUCUGAGGUUGCGGUGGAGCUGCCGAUGCCGCACCACUCCCAUCUGGGUGAGGAUGGCCUGCCGGUAGUGCAGGCGGACACCCAAGUGGGUGGCGGGGAGAGGGGGAAUGUUGGUACAAGGCCGCGGGAGCGGAUGCCUACCACCCGGCGCGGUCCUCAAAAGAAGACGGUGCAGCCGACGGGGACUGCCACCGAGUCCCGGGGUGAGCCGCCGGUGCGGGUGACGAGGACCGCUGCUGGGACACAACGGGCGUUGGAGAAAAAACGCCGGCAGCCUGACUCCCCCGUCG